RNAcentral lists this ribosomal RNA (253 nucleotides) under uncultured bacterium. RNAcentral's name for it is "partial 16S ribosomal RNA". It matches the Rfam family "Bacterial small subunit ribosomal RNA", at positions 524 to 776 of the family's 1533-position model. The record is from RNAcentral.
UACGUAGGGGGCAAGCGUUAUCCGGAUUUACUGGGUGUAAAGGGUGCGUAGCCGGAAAUGCAAGUCAGAUGUGAAAGCCCGAAGCUCAACUUCGGGACUGCAUUUGAAACUGUAUUUCUAGAGUGCAGGAGAGGAAAGUGGAAUUCCUAGUGUAGCGGUGAAAUGCGUAGAUAUUAGGAGGAACACCAGUGGCGAAGGCGACUUUCUGGAUUGUAACUGACGGUGAGGCGCGAAAGCGUGGGGAGCAAACAGG